This 252-nucleotide ribosomal RNA is filed under the name uncultured bacterium. RNAcentral describes it as "partial 16S ribosomal RNA". It matches the Rfam family "Bacterial small subunit ribosomal RNA", at positions 525 to 776 of the family's 1533-position model. The record is from RNAcentral.
ACGGAGGGUGCAAGCGUUGUCCGGAUUUAUUGGGUUUAAAGGGUGCGUAGGCGGCGUAAUAAGUCAGUGGUGAAAGCCGGCAGCUCAACUGUCGAGGUGCCAUUGAUACUGUUAUGCUUGAGUACAGACGAGGUAGGCGGAAUUUAUGAUGUAGCGGUGAAAUGCAUAGAUAUCAUAAAGAACACCUAUAGCGAAGGCAGCUUACUAGGCUGUAACUGACGCUGAGGCACGAAAGCGUGGGGAGCGAACAGG